This 1658-nucleotide long non-coding RNA is filed under the name Erythranthe guttata (spotted monkey flower). Its description in RNAcentral is "long non-coding RNA (EGUT_LNC003034)". The record is from RNAcentral. Lineage: Eukaryota; Viridiplantae; Streptophyta; Magnoliopsida; Lamiales; Phrymaceae.
UGAUUUUGUUGGACGAAUCAGUAAUGUCAAUCCUUCAUUGUUAACAGAAUGACUUAAGUUAUUUGCUUUCCAGUUUAUUUCGUCAUCCUCAAUUCAAUCCCAGCUACGGCGAAUAUUAAAGGAUUCAGUAAGAUGGCAAAACAAAACGAUCAACAAAGUUCACCGGAAACUAAUCUAAUACAUAAAGAGAAAUUGAACAUCAAGAAUCAAUCAAACAAUUAAGGAUCCGUUGCUGGUUGUUACAGCUACAGAGAGCCUAAAAACCAGGACAAAAAUCCCAAAAGAGAACCAAUUUUUAAAAAAAGUUCAAUUUAUGAACAAAAAUUGAAAAAAAAAUUAGAAAAGAAAUAAUAUACCUGUUAUUGAUGCUUAAUUCAGUGAAUACCUUGAAGAAAGCUUCAAACGUUUUGCAAUCUGAUAUACAAGAAAUAGCAAAACAACAAGGAAAUAAUGUAUUUAAAACAGGAACUAAAAAAUAAAUAGAAAAUGAAGCAUAGAAAAUAGCAAUUAAAUGACACAAAUAUGAACUGAAUUAGGCUCUCCAAUUUUGACCGUAUUGUUUCAUCAUGUGAAAUAGAAUUUCAACAACCUCGAUCUCAACAUUAUGCUGAAUCACUAAUCGGAAAUUUGUGAGAUAUGCUACAAGUAGUAAUAAACUCUCCAUUAGCAAUGAGCUGUGUAUAUUGAUGAAAAUUAAAAAGUAGAAAUGAGAGAAACAAAACCAUGUAAAUAUCUUUAGGGCCACCUCUGUAAGCACAAGGAGAACACAUCGCUGGUAAACAAAACCAUGUAAACAAAAGUCGCCGGUGAGUUUCUUAAAACCAACCCAUGCAAUCUCUACUUUCGCCGAACAUCAAAUUCUCUUCCAUUCAACUUGCUGGAUAAAACCAAAAAGUAGAUAAAUGGAGGCUUGUUGGAUGAAACCAAUAAAGAAAAUAGGUCAUAGUACAAAUAUAUAUGUCUAUAUUCUAUUAGGCACCAAAAACUUAUGAUUCACAGAAGGUACCGCAAAACUUAAAACCACACAAUGGAUGUGUAAAAUUAAAAGGAAGUUGAUAAUUAAUUGUAUAUAACAAACAAAGCAUAAUUAAUUGUUAAAUGCCAAAUCACCAAGGAACCAAGAAAUUGAAGACAAAAAUAGAACACACCCACAUGCAGCGAAUAAAACAAAAGCAGAGGCAAGCAAUAUAAUUAAUACGAAGGAAAAUGAAAUUAGUUGACCUGGGUGCUACAUAGAGGUUGUCGUUCGUGUAGGCGGCGGCGUUUAUGCUCGCCGACGCUGGAAGCGGCGAGGCCCUCUCGAUUGCCUUUGGUGGUCGGCUAUAGCUUUUGAGAGAGGAGGCGCCGGAGAUAGAGGUGAAAGAUGUUCUCCCGGUUAGAGAAUUGAAAAAGAAAGAAAAGCGAAAAGAAAUUAAGGAACGAAAAUUCUGAUUUCCGCCGAAUCCGAUCCGAAAUAUUCCGAUUUUGGAACGACUUUUUCAAUUCCAAAUUCCGAAAUUCCGAUUUCCAAAAAUUCCGAAAAAAAUCGGAUCGGAAUCGGAAAUACAUAACAGAAUUUCGGAAUUUCCGAUUUCCGAUCCGAAAUUAUUCCGAUUUUUCCAAUUAUAAUAUUAUUAAUAUUUCUUACUAUAUAUAAUAUAUGUAUAUAUCUAUCCGCC